This 497-nucleotide ribosomal RNA is filed under the name uncultured bacterium. RNAcentral describes it as "partial 16S ribosomal RNA". It matches the Rfam family "Bacterial small subunit ribosomal RNA", at positions 28 to 507 of the family's 1533-position model. The record is from RNAcentral.
GAUGAACGCUGGCGGCGUGCCUAAUACAUGCAAGUCGAGCAAACGGACGAGAAGCUUGCUUCUCUGAUGUUAGCGGCGGACGGGUGGGUAACACGUGGAUAACCUACCUAUAAGACUGGGAUAACUUCGGGAAACCGUAGCUAAUACCGGAUAAUAUUUUGAACCGCAUGGUUCAAAAGUGAAAGACGGUCUUGCUGUCACUUAUAGAUGGAUCCGCGCUGCAUUAGCUAGUUGGUAAGGUAACGGCUUACCAAGGCAACGAUGCAUAGCCGACCUGAGAGGGUGAUCGGCCACACUGGAACUGAGACACGGUCCAGACUCCUACGGGAGGCAGCAGUAGGGAAUCUUCCGCAAUGGGCGAAAGCCUGACGGAGCAACGCCGCGUGAGUGAUGAAGGUCUUCGGAUCGUAAAACUCUGUUAUUAGGGAAGAACAUAUGUGUAAGUAACUGUUCACAUCUUGACGGUACCUAAUCAGAAAGCCACGGCUAACUACGUG